Long non-coding RNA from Oreochromis niloticus (Nile tilapia), 1331 nucleotides. RefSeq lists it as uncharacterized. NCBI's taxonomy places the organism in Eukaryota, Metazoa, Chordata, Actinopteri, Cichliformes, Cichlidae. The transcript is spliced from 2 exons. The record is from RefSeq and is a predicted model, not a curated record.
AUAUAAGGUAAAGGUAACGUUUAGUGGGUAAAAUAAGUUUUACCCAGUUUUCUAACUAAAUAUAUUUGUAAAGGUGUUUUUGACAUGACAUUUUCAAUAGAUGUUGGGAACAACCUAUUCAAUUUACUCAAAAAAUCAAACCAUAAAUGUCUAUGAAUUAAGCUACGUGUAAAAUAACAUGUGAAGCAGGGAAAAGGUGUUGAGCACAUGAAGGAAGUGAGGUGCCAAAUGCAUGGAAACCUGACAGCUGCUACCUGUCAGUAAUUAGAAGGCAGUACUGUCACAAUAUCAAUCAAUAUCAAUAUUAAUACUAGCUGAUUCAUUCAUAAACAGGUGUCUCAUUACCAAGGUGUCACACAGGAAACCUCUCGAUGGGUAACCCCAGUGAGCUUUCUCAACACCUUUGCAACCUUAUUGUUGGGAAACAUACUGAUGUCAAGAAGAAUUUCCAAACUACUGAAGGCUUGAGUGAGCACAUAAACCGUCCACGACCAGGUCCAAGAUUUCAGACAGAGGGGUGAAAUGAAGAGUUGUCCAAGAGUCAGUGACUACUUGUGGAGAGCUACAGAAAGACCUGGAAUCAGCAGAUAGACAGCAUGUUAGUAAGCAAGCUGCCUGCUCAUGUUUGCUGCUCUGAUGCUUGACAGGAGGUUACUGAGGCAGGUUAUUGGCCAGCAGAUGGAUGGGUCCAGUCCCUUCUCAGGAUCCUUGGGGAUCAGGACUGUCCUGCCUUCAGUGUGUGUGCCUCAUCUAUUAGCAGCUGAUUUGUUGGUGCUGCCAUGCACUAAGCUAGUCGCAUAAAAUCUGAAAGAUAACACCAGAGUGUACUAAUACUAUAUAAUCUAUAAUCCCCAGUUUAGUUAAAUGUUAAAGUUGCACAUGCAUACAUCUGCUCAAACGUAACAGUGGUGUGAAAAACUUUUAACAGGACCUUAGGUUGAUUUUUGCAUUCCUGGUUUUAUUAGAAUGAGGGAGAUGUGCACAUUUAUGCAUGUGAUAAAAACAGCCAUGAUUUCAAUACUUUCUAAUAACCAUGAAUUUCUACCAGGACUGCUGACAUUCACUGUUAGAGCCCAUCAGAUCAGCUUGACUUUCUGAAGUGACUAAAAAGUAGUCAGUUUUACAAAAUAAUCAUUACUUAGGAGCCAUCCAUAGAUUAGAUAUUAGAUAUUAACCACUGUCAGAGCUCUUUUAUUCAUUUUUAUUUUCAGUGUGUUAGGGCUGAGUUGUGGUGAGAAAUAUUUUUUCUGUUUAGAUUUAAAGUUACUGUUUGUAGUAGUUACAUCACUAUUGUGUGCACUUACGUUUUUAUUAUUGGAAUUAAAGUAUAA